UCUGGAGUAAAAGGNUAUGGCUCAACCAUAGUGUGCUCUGGAAACUNUCUGACUUGAGUGCAGAAGGGGAGAGUGGAAUUCCAUGUGUAGCGGUGAAAUGCGUAGAUAUAUGGAGGAACACCAGUGGCGAAAGCGGCUCUCUGNUCUGUCACUGACGCUGAGGCUCGAAAGCGUGGGUAGCGAACAGGAUUAGAUACCCUGGUAGUNCACGCCGUAAACGAUGAGUGCUAGGUGUUAGGCCCUUUCCGGGGCUUAGUGCCGGAGCUAACGCAAUAAGCACUCCGCCUGGGGAGUACGACCGCAAGGUUGAAACUCAAAGGAAUUGACGGGGGCCCGCACAAGCGGUGGAGCAUGUGGUUUAAUUCGAAGCAACGCGAAGAACCUUACCAGGUCUUGACAUCCCGAUGCUAUUCUUAGAGAUAGGAAGUUACUUCGGUACAUCGGAGACAGGUGGUGCAUGGUUGUCGUCAGCUCGUGUCGUGAGAUGUUGGGUUAAGUCCCGCAACGAGCGCAACCCUUAUUGUUAGUUGCCAUCAUUAAGUUGGGCACUCUAGCGAGACUGCCGGUAAUAAACCGGAGGAAGGUGGGGAUGACGUCAAAUCAUCAUGCCCCUUAUGACCUGGGCUACACACGUGCUACAAUGGUCGGUACAACGAGUUGCGAGCCGGUGACGGCAAGCUAAUCUCUGAAAGCCGAUCUCAGUUCGGAUUGGAGGCUGCAACUCGCCUCCAUGAAGUCGGAAUCGCUAGUAAUCGCGGAUCAGCACGCCGCGGUGAAUACGUUCCCGGGCCUUGUAC
Molecule: ribosomal RNA, 797 nt
Filed under: uncultured bacterium
Lineage: Bacteria
Description: bacterial SSU rRNA
Rfam family: Bacterial small subunit ribosomal RNA
Source: RNAcentral